ACUCAAAGGAAUAGACGGGGGCCCGCACAAGCGGUGGAGCAUGUGGUUUAAUUCGACGCAACGCGAAGAACCUUACCCGGGCUCGAAAUGUUAGGGACAUCCGUGGAAACACGGCUUCCAUCCUUCGGGAUGGUCCUAGUAUAGGUGCUGCAUGGCUGUCGUCAGCUCGUGUCGUGAGAUGUUGGGUUAAGUCCCGCAACGAGCGCAACCCUUAUCGCCAGUUACCAUCGGGUCAUGCCGGGGACUCUGGCGAGACUGCCCGCGAUAAGCGGGAGGAAGGCGGGGAUGACGUCAAGUCAUCAUGGCCCUUACGUCCGGGGCUACACACGUGCUACAAUGGCCGGUACAAAGAGAGGCGAGACCGCGAGGUGGAGCAAAUCUGGUAAAACCGGCCCCAGUUCGGAUCGGAGUCUGCAAUUCGACUCCGUGAAGUUGGAAUCGCUAGUAAUCGCGGAUCAGCACGCCGCGGUGAAUACGUUCCCGGGCCUUGUACACACCGCCCGU
This 504-nucleotide ribosomal RNA is filed under the name uncultured bacterium. RNAcentral's name for it is "partial 16S ribosomal RNA". It matches the Rfam family "Bacterial small subunit ribosomal RNA", at positions 899 to 1397 of the family's 1533-position model. The record is from RNAcentral.